RNAcentral lists this transfer-messenger RNA (126 nucleotides) under Actinomycetota bacterium. RNAcentral describes it as "partial transfer-messenger RNA". It matches the Rfam family "transfer-messenger RNA", at positions 1 to 134 of the family's 374-position model. From Rfam's summary of the family: Bacterial tmRNA, also known as 10Sa RNA or SsrA, is named for its dual tRNA and mRNA-like properties. Its role is to liberate the mRNA from a stalled ribosome. The record is from RNAcentral. Lineage: Bacteria; Bacillati; Actinomycetota.
GGGGGUGCACUGGCUUCGACUCGGGCGAGAACUGACCGGGAGAAGCGGGCCGAGGUUCCGGAUGCCUCGUUAAAAGCCGGAUCAAACACAAGCGCCGAUAACUACGCGCUCGCUGCCUAAUUAGUU